AAAUUGAAGAGUUUGAUCAUGGCUCAGAUUGAACGCUGGCGGCAGGCCUAACACAUGCAAGUCGAACGGUAACAGGAAGCAGCUUGCUGUUUCGCUGACGAGUGGCGGACGGGUGAGUAAUGUCUGGGAAACUGCCUGAUGGAGGGGGAUAACUACUGGAAACGGUAGCUAAUACCGCAUAACGUCGCAAGACCAAAGAGGGGGACCUUCGGGCCUCUU
RNAcentral lists this ribosomal RNA (219 nucleotides) under Escherichia coli. RNAcentral's name for it is "partial 16S ribosomal RNA". It matches the Rfam family "Bacterial small subunit ribosomal RNA", at positions 1 to 218 of the family's 1533-position model. Lineage: Bacteria; Pseudomonadati; Pseudomonadota; Gammaproteobacteria; Enterobacterales; Enterobacteriaceae. The record is from RNAcentral.